CCGUAAUCGAUGAUUUGAAACGAUUCUCUAUGUACACUAAUUUCGUGUUGAUGUAUGCCAUUAAAUCUGUAUUUUGUGGGGAGAUAGUUUUUGUUUUAAAAUGGCUGAAAAAUAGUGGGUCUAUUAGUAUAUUUAGUUGUGAAUGUUCUGCAUAAAAGUGAUGUUUUAUAAUGAAGUUUGAUUUAAUAGUUAAUGGAAAUAUGAUGUACCUAUGAUGAUUAAUGUUAGAAUAAAUUUAUGUUUAUUAAUAUAUUUUAUUGAUUUGUUUAUCAUUAAAUAUAAAUAAAAAAAAAUAUAUUUGUUUUUUAUAGCAAAUUAUAUUAUAUAAUUUUUUUAUUAAUAUAUAUAUAUUUAACUUGUUUCUCAGCAAGUUAUUUUGUAAGUUUAUGGAUGUUUGUUUAUUAGCAAAUAUUAUUAUACAAUAAUUUUUUUUUAUUUAACUUGUUUCUUAGCAAGUUAUUUUAUGAAUUUAUGGAUUUUUUUGUAAAUAUUAUAAUAUAAUUUUAAUUAAAUUGUUUAACUUGUUUCUUAGCAAGUUAUUUUAUAAAUGUAUGGGUAUUUGUUUAUUAGCAAAUAUUAUAAUAUAAUUUUUAUUAAAUUAUUUGACUUGUUUCUUAGCAAGUUAUUUUAUAAAUGUAUGGGUAUUUGUUUAUUAGCAAAUAUUAUGAUAUAAUUUUUAUUAAAUUAUUUGACUUGUUUCUUAGCAAGUUAUUUUAUAAAUGUAUGGGUAUUUGUUUAUUAGCAAAUAUUAUGAUAUAAUUUUUAUUAAAUUAUUAAGCUUGUUUCUUAGCAAGUUAUUUUAUAAAGUUGUGGAUAUUUGUUUAUUAGCAAAUAUAUGGUUUUAUUAUGUUAUUAUUAUUUUUUGUUGGCUCAGUCAGUACAGUAUUAUAGUAUAGUAUAGUCAGGAUAGUAUUUUAAUUUAAUUGUAUUAAUAGUUAUAGUGUUUUUAUAGGUAUUGAUAAUUGUAAAAGAAAAACUCUCAGUUUAAAAAAAAAAAAAAAACUGAACUUGUGUUGGGCGCCACUUUGUAAUGAGUUAAAAAUAAAUAGGUAACGUUAUUGAAUAGAAAGGUAUUUCAAAUGUUAAUUUAUAUUAUAUAUUUUUAACUCAUCACUUUAUAAAGAAUAUUACGGGGGAUGGGUGCGAGAGUUUUACUUUCCAAAUAAAUAAAUGUUUUAAAAU
Aphis gossypii (cotton aphid) is the source of this 1182-nucleotide long non-coding RNA. RefSeq lists it as uncharacterized. Lineage: Eukaryota; Metazoa; Arthropoda; Insecta; Hemiptera; Aphididae. The transcript is spliced from 2 exons. The record is from RefSeq and is a predicted model, not a curated record.